UACCGGCGGCUCGAGUGGUGGCCACUAUUACUGGGCUUAAAGGGUCCGUAGCUUGAUAUGCAAGUCUUUUGAGAAAUCCGCCGGCUUAACUGGUGGGCGUUCAGGGGAAACUGCAUUUCUAGGGACCGGGAGAGGUGAGAGGUACUGCCGGGGUAGGAGUGAAAUCCUGUAAUCCCGGUGGGACCACCUAUGGCGAAGGCAUCUCACCAGAACGGGUCCGACAGUGAGGGACGAAAGCUGGGGGAGCAAACCGGAUUAGAUACCCGGGUAGUCCCAGCUGUAAACGAUGCGCGUUAGGUGUGUCAGUGACCACGUGUCACUGAGGUGCCGAAGGGAAACCGUGAAACGCGCCGCCUGGGGAGUACGGUCGCAAGGCUGAA
Molecule: ribosomal RNA, 380 nt
Filed under: uncultured bacterium
Lineage: Bacteria
Description: bacterial SSU rRNA
Rfam family: Archaeal small subunit ribosomal RNA
Source: RNAcentral